UGUAAGGCAGUUGGUGAUCUAGCCAUUUCCUCAGCAGCUUUUCUUAAUGUCGACGAUGCUUCUAAUUCACCUUGUGCUGCUAUUAC
RNAcentral lists this microRNA precursor (86 nucleotides) under Schistosoma mansoni. Its description in RNAcentral is "microRNA sma-mir-8451 precursor". The record is from miRBase by way of RNAcentral. Lineage: Eukaryota; Metazoa; Platyhelminthes; Trematoda; Strigeidida; Schistosomatidae.